RNAcentral lists this long non-coding RNA (232 nucleotides) under Lathyrus oleraceus (garden pea). Its description in RNAcentral is "Pisum sativum (pea) long non-coding RNA (PSAT_LNC017479)". The record is from RNAcentral. Lineage: Eukaryota; Viridiplantae; Streptophyta; Magnoliopsida; Fabales; Fabaceae.
UUAAAGACUUUAGACAGCGCUUUAUCAAAAGCGCUGACUAAGGUCUAUAUUUAAAAGCGCUUUCAUUAUUUUCUUGGAACAUUUUCCGUGUUUUAUUUUAAUUUUAACCUUAGAUGACAGCGCUUUCAUUAUUUUCUUGGAACAUUUUCCGUGUUUUAUUUUAAUUUUAACCUUAGACAGCGCUUUCUUUUAAAAGCGCUGUCUAAGAUGCGCUGUUAAAAGUCAUUUUUGG